GCCAGUGUGGUGUAGUGGUUUGAGCGCUGGGCUAUGACUCCAGAGACCAAGUUCGAAUCCUCACUCAGUCA
Phrynosoma platyrhinos (Desert horned lizard) is the source of this 71-nucleotide non-coding RNA. The record is from the annotation of a GenBank genome assembly. Lineage: Eukaryota; Metazoa; Chordata; Lepidosauria; Squamata; Phrynosomatidae.